ACGGAGGGUGCGAGCGUUGUCCGGAAUCACUGGGCGUAAAGGGCGCGUAGGCGGCUCGGUAAGUAGGGGGUGAAAUCCUGCGGCUUAACCGCAGGGCUGCCUUCUAAACUGUCGAGCUUGAGCACGGUAGAGGCAGAUGGAAUUCCGGGCGUAGCGGUGGAAUGCGUAGAGAUCCGGAAGAACACCAGUGGCGAAGGCGGUCUGCUGGGCGGUGGGACCGAAAGGUCUCUUGAACCGACACUGAGGCGCGACAGCGUGGGGAGCAAACAGGA
This 272-nucleotide ribosomal RNA is filed under the name uncultured prokaryote. RNAcentral describes it as "partial 16S ribosomal RNA". It matches the Rfam family "Bacterial small subunit ribosomal RNA", at positions 525 to 777 of the family's 1533-position model. The record is from RNAcentral.